UACAUGGGGUGCAAACGUUGCUCGGAAUUAUUGGGCGUAAAGCGCGCGUAGGCGGUUAUCUAAGUCGGAUGUGAAAGCCCUCGGCUUAACUGAGGAAGUGCACCCGAAACUGGAUAGCUAGAGUACGAAAGAGGGUCGCGGAAUUCCCGGUGUAGAGGUGAAAUUCGUAGAUAUGGGGGAGGAACACCGGUGGCGAAGGCGGCCAUCUGGACGGAUACUGACGCUGAGACGCGAAAGCGUGGGGAGCAAACAGG
RNAcentral lists this ribosomal RNA (254 nucleotides) under uncultured bacterium. RNAcentral's name for it is "partial 16S ribosomal RNA". It matches the Rfam family "Bacterial small subunit ribosomal RNA", at positions 524 to 776 of the family's 1533-position model. The record is from RNAcentral.